AACGAACGCUGGCGGCAUGCCUAACACAUGCAAGUCGAACGAGACCUUCGAGUCUAGUGGCGCACGGGUGCGUAACGCGUGGGAACCUGCCCUUAGGUUCGGAAUAACUCCCCGAAAGGGGUGCUAAUACCGGAUAAUGUCUUCGGACCAAAGAUUUAUCGCCUUUGGAUGGGCCCGCGUUGGAUUAGCUAGUUGGUAGGGUAAAAGGCUACCAAGGCGACGAUCCAUAGCUGGUCUGAGAGGAUGAUCAGCCACACUGGGACUGAGACACGGCCCAGACUCCUACGGGAGGCAGCAGUGGGGAAUAUUGGACAAUGGGCGAAAGCCUGAUCCAGCAAUGCCGCGUGAGUGAUGAAGGCCUUAGGGUUGUAAAGCUCUUUUACCCGGGAUGAUAAUGACAGUACCGGGAGAAUAAGCUCCGGCUAACUCCGUG
This 433-nucleotide ribosomal RNA is filed under the name uncultured bacterium. RNAcentral describes it as "partial 16S ribosomal RNA". It matches the Rfam family "Bacterial small subunit ribosomal RNA", at positions 29 to 507 of the family's 1533-position model. The record is from RNAcentral.